AGAACGAACGCUGGCGGCAUGCCUAACACAUGCAAGUCGAACGUGAUCCAUGACUUCGGUUGUGGUGAAAGUGGCAAACGGGUGAGUAACGCGUGGGAAUCUGCCCAGAGGUAGGGAAUAACCGCGGGAAACUGCGGCUAAUACCCUAUGUGCCCUACGGGGCAAAGAUUUAUCGCCUUUGGAGGAGCCCGCGUCGGAUUAGGUAGUUGGUAGGGUAACGGCCUACCAAGCCUACGAUCCGUAGCUGGUCUGAGAGGAUGAUCAGCCACACUGGGACUGAGAUACGGCCCAGACUCCUACGGGAGGCAGCAGUGGGGAAUAUUGGACAAUGGGGGCAACCCUGAUCCAGCAAUGCCGCGUGAGUGAUGAAGGCCUUCGGGUUGUAAAGCUCUUUCGGCGGGGAAGAUGAUGACGGUACCCGCAGAGAAGCCCGGCUAACUCGCGCCAGCAGCCGC
RNAcentral lists this ribosomal RNA (455 nucleotides) under uncultured bacterium. Its description in RNAcentral is "SSU rRNA". It matches the Rfam family "Bacterial small subunit ribosomal RNA", at positions 26 to 518 of the family's 1533-position model. The record is from RNAcentral.